AACUCGGCUGCAUGAAGCCGGAAUCGCUAGUAAUCGCGGAUCAGAAUGCCGCGGUGAAUACGUUCCCGGGUCUUGUACACACCGCCCGUCACACCAUGGGAGUCGGAAAUGCCCGAAGUCGGUGACCCAACUGAGAAGAGGGAGCCGCCGAAGGCAGGUCCGGUAACUGGGGUGAAGUCGUAACAAGGUAAC
Molecule: ribosomal RNA, 192 nt
Filed under: uncultured bacterium
Lineage: Bacteria
Description: partial 16S ribosomal RNA
Rfam family: Bacterial small subunit ribosomal RNA
Source: RNAcentral